Long non-coding RNA from Sapajus apella (tufted capuchin), 136 nucleotides. RefSeq lists it as uncharacterized. NCBI's taxonomy places the organism in Eukaryota, Metazoa, Chordata, Mammalia, Primates, Cebidae. The record is from RefSeq and is a predicted model, not a curated record. The transcript is spliced from 3 exons.
ACCGCGCCCGGCUUUUUUUUUUUUUUUAAAUGAAUGAGAGGUUCUUAUGUUGCCCAGGCUGGCCUCGAACGCGUAGCCUCGCCUCCUCAAGCGCCAGGACAACUGGUCUAAGCCAUGGCUGCUCCCAAAGUCACCU